CCAAACAAAGUCUCCUGGUCCUUGUCCUCGUCCUCGUCCUCGUCGUAGCUCAUGCAUUUUCGGGGAGACCGCUGUCAUAUAUCGCAUCUCGAUAGCGAGAAUACUGGAGUGCUCUCUGCCAUCCCAGCCGAAAGCGCACGCACACGCAGGACACAGAAGAGGCCGACGAAGAGGCAGAGGCAGCAGCAGGACAUGUGGGAGGUGGAAAGUGGAAGGACACCCAACUAACGGCAUGUGCAACCCUUUUCCACGUGUGUGUAUACAUAUACCUACACAGAUGCAGAUACAGAUGUGUGUACCAGUCAGCUGAUACACUUAUCAGUCGUAACUCGCAACGAUGGAAAUUGCUGGGAGGGAGAGGGAAACCUGCCGCUGCUGUUGCUGCUGCUACUGCUGGUAAUGCAAUCGGGAGAUACGCAUUCGAUACGCUGUGAGAACACUCGAAAUUUGCCAAAUAAACACAAAUAAUUCUCACGUUUCUCCGAUGAUUCAAUGACCGCUUGAUGACUGUGUCCAGCCUUUGGCGAAUCUCAAAUUACUUGCGUAGUACGGCUUCUAGCAUCUAUUCGGGGAUUGAUCACGAGUCAUGUGCCUUAAUCGGACCGACUAGCGGCGCUUAUCAGGACGGUGUACAUGCAUUUCAAGAUCAAAGUUGAAGUCCCCCCUGGAGACAGAGCUCUGUCUGGAUCUUCGACGCCACACUAGAUCUUAUCUGCCGCAGCUUGUUUGCAAUUCACACAUCGACGGCAGCGUUUAGAAGGCAACCACACCACACCCCUCACCCCACACGCCCUGCCACCUGAUCCACCAAACGAUGUGCCAAAAAAUCCCAACCACUUGAACCUGAGGCUAUACCUGUACUCGUGCCCGUGCUCUCCCCGUACGUAUCGCCACCGUUCUACGUUCGUUCUGUGGCAGUGCAAAAACAACUUUUCGAGAGUAGAAAAAAUAAAGCGAAAAUGUUUUAACGCUCCGACGCAUAACGACAACAAACAAAUCGCUUCAUUUAACAAUAAAUAGCUGCCAGCGACGACGUUUCAAAAAAGCAAACACACGAUGAGAAAACAAUCGAUGGAAGAAAUGCUCAACUGAAAAAAUAAUCGCUUACUGAACACGGAAUAAUGUUUGGCAUGUGCCACGCCCAAGGUGCACAAGUGGCACUUGUUGAAGAUCGAAUGGAGUGGAUCGGAUCACACGUGCGUGUGCCCGUUCGGCAAUUAGAUUGAAAGGCCUUCCACCUCUGCUCCGGCACAUUAAUUAUGCCUGCCUGCUCCUGCUCCU
Molecule: long non-coding RNA, 1281 nt
Organism: Drosophila pseudoobscura
Lineage: Eukaryota; Metazoa; Arthropoda; Insecta; Diptera; Drosophilidae
Exons: 4
Source: RefSeq, a predicted model, not a curated record